AACGAACGCUGGCGGCGCGCCUAAUACAUGCAAGUCGAGCGAGAAGACGUAGCAAUACGUUUGUAAAGCGGCGAACGGGUGAGGAAUACAUGGGUAACCUACCCUCGAGUGGGGAAUAACUAGCCGAAAGGUUAGCUAAUACCGCGUACGCUCCUUGGACUUCGGUUCAGGGAGGAAAGCGAUACCGUGGGUAUCGCGCUCUUGGAUGGGCUCAUGUCCUAUCAGCUUGUUGGUGAGGAACGGCUCACCAAGGCUUCGACGGGUAGCUGGUCUGAGAGGACAAUCAGCCACACUGGCACUGCGACACGGGCCAGACUCCUACGGGAGGCAGCAGUAAGGAAUAUUGCGCAAUGGGCGAAAGCCUGACGCAGCGACGCCGCGUGGGGGAUGAAGGUCUUCGGAUUGUAAA
This 409-nucleotide ribosomal RNA is filed under the name uncultured bacterium. RNAcentral's name for it is "bacterial SSU rRNA". It matches the Rfam family "Bacterial small subunit ribosomal RNA", at positions 29 to 429 of the family's 1533-position model. The record is from RNAcentral.